AGAACGAACGCUGGCGGCAGGCCUCAAACAUGCAAGUCUAGGGGGUGUAGCAAUACAUCACCGGCGGACGGGUGCGUAACACGUGGGAAUGUACCUAUUGGUUCGGAACAACGCAGGGAAACUUGCGCUAAUACCGAAUGUGCCCGAAAGGGGAAAGAUUUAUCGCCAAUAGAUCAGCCCGCGUAGGAUUAGCUAGUUGGUGAGGUAAUGGCUCACCAAGGCUCCGAUCCUUAGCUGUUCUGAGAGGAAGAUCAGCCACACUGGGACUGAGACACGGCCCAGACUCCUACGGGAGGCAGCAGUUGGGAAUCUUGGACAAUGGGCGAAAGCCUGAUCCAGCCAUGCCGCGUGAGUGAUGAAGGCCUUGGGUUGUAAAACUCUUUCGACGGGACGAUAUGACGGUACCCGUAGAAGAAGCUCCGGCUAACUCGCGCCAGCAGCCGC
Molecule: ribosomal RNA, 444 nt
Filed under: uncultured bacterium
Lineage: Bacteria
Description: SSU rRNA
Rfam family: Bacterial small subunit ribosomal RNA
Source: RNAcentral